RNAcentral lists this ribosomal RNA (2899 nucleotides) under Klebsiella pneumoniae. RNAcentral describes it as "23S ribosomal RNA". It matches the Rfam family "Bacterial large subunit ribosomal RNA". The record is from RNAcentral. Lineage: Bacteria; Pseudomonadati; Pseudomonadota; Gammaproteobacteria; Enterobacterales; Enterobacteriaceae.
UUAAGCGACUAAGCGUACACGGUGGAUGCCCUGGCAGUCAGAGGCGAUGAAGGACGUGCUAAUCUGCGAAAAGCGUCGGUAAGGUGAUAUGAACCGUUAUAACCGGCGAUGUCCGAAUGGGGAAACCCAGUGCAAUUCGUUGCACUAUCGUUAACUGAAUACAUAGGUUAACGAGGCGAACCGGGGGAACUGAAACAUCUAAGUACCCCGAGGAAAAGAAAUCAACCGAGAUUCCCCCAGUAGCGGCGAGCGAACGGGGAGCAGCCCAGAGUCUGAAUCAGCUUGUGUGUUAGUGGAACGGUCUGGAAAGUCCGACGGUACAGGGUGAUAGUCCCGUACACCAAAAUGCACAGGCUGUGAACUCGAAGAGUAGGGCGGGACACGUGGUAUCCUGUCUGAAUAUGGGGGGACCAUCCUCCAAGGCUAAAUACUCCUGACUGACCGAUAGUGAACCAGUACCGUGAGGGAAAGGCGAAAAGAACCCCGGCGAGGGGAGUGAAAAAGAACCUGAAACCGUGUACGUACAAGCAGUGGGAGCACCUUCGGGUGUGACUGCGUACCUUUUGUAUAAUGGGUCAGCGACUUAUAUUCUGUAGCAAGGUUAACCGUAUAGGGGAGCCGCAGGGAAACCGAGUCUUAACUGGGCGUUAAGUUGCAGGGUAUAGACCCGAAACCCGGUGAUCUAGCCAUGGGCAGGUUGAAGGUUGGGUAACACUAACUGGAGGACCGAACCGACUAAUGUUGAAAAAUUAGCGGAUGACUUGUGGCUGGGGGUGAAAGGCCAAUCAAACCGGGAGAUAGCUGGUUCUCCCCGAAAGCUAUUUAGGUAGCGCCUCGUGAAUUCAUCUUCGGGGGUAGAGCACUGUUUCGGCUAGGGGGUCAUCCCGACUUACCAACCCGAUGCAAACUACGAAUACCGAAGAAUGUUAUCACGGGAGACACACGGCGGGUGCUAACGUCCGUCGUGAAGAGGGAAACAACCCAGACCGCCAGCUAAGGUCCCAAAGUCAUGGUUAAGUGGGAAACGAUGUGGGAAGGCACAGACAGCCAGGAUGUUGGCUUAGAAGCAGCCAUCAUUUAAAGAAAGCGUAAUAGCUCACUGGUCGAGUCGGCCUGCGCGGAAGAUGUAACGGGGCUAAACCAUGCACCGAAGCUGCGGCAGCGACACUAUGUGUUGUUGGGUAGGGGAGCGUUCUGUAAGCCUGCGAAGGUGACCUGUGAGGGUUGCUGGAGGUAUCAGAAGUGCGAAUGCUGACAUAAGUAACGAUAAAGCGGGUGAAAAGCCCGCUCGCCGGAAGACCAAGGGUUCCUGUCCAACGUUAAUCGGGGCAGGGUGAGUCGACCCCUAAGGCGAGGCCGAAAGGCGUAGUCGAUGGGAAACAGGUUAAUAUUCCUGUACUUGGUGUUACUGCGAAGGGGGGACGGAGAAGGCUAUGUUAGCCGGGCGACGGUUGUCCCGGUUUAAGCAUGUAGGCUGGUUAUCCAGGCAAAUCCGGAUAAUCAAGGCUGAGGUGUGAUGACGAGGCACUACGGUGCUGAAGUAACAAAUGCCCUGCUUCCAGGAAAAGCCUCUAAGCAUCAGGUAACAUCAAAUCGUACCCCAAACCGACACAGGUGGUCAGGUAGAGAAUACCAAGGCGCUUGAGAGAACUCGGGUGAAGGAACUAGGCAAAAUGGUGCCGUAACUUCGGGAGAAGGCACGCUGGUGUGUAGGUGAAGUCCCUGCGGAUGGAGCUGAGACCAGUCGAAGAUACCAGCUGGCUGCAACUGUUUAUUAAAAACACAGCACUGUGCAAACACGAAAGUGGACGUAUACGGUGUGACGCCUGCCCGGUGCCGGAAGGUUAAUUGAUGGGGUUAUCCGUAAGGAGAAGCUCUUGAUCGAAGCCCCGGUAAACGGCGGCCGUAACUAUAACGGUCCUAAGGUAGCGAAAUUCCUUGUCGGGUAAGUUCCGACCUGCACGAAUGGCGUAAUGAUGGCCAGGCUGUCUCCACCCGAGACUCAGUGAAAUUGAACUCGCUGUGAAGAUGCAGUGUACCCGCGGCAAGACGGAAAGACCCCGUGAACCUUUACUAUAGCUUGACACUGAACAUUGAGCCUUGAUGUGUAGGAUAGGUGGGAGGCUUUGAAGCGUGGACGCCAGUCUGCGUGGAGCCAACCUUGAAAUACCACCCUUUAAUGUUUGAUGUUCUAACGUUGGCCCCUGACCGGGGUUGCGGACAGUGUCUGGUGGGUAGUUUGACUGGGGCGGUCUCCUCCCAAAGCGUAACGGAGGAGCACGAAGGUUAGCUAAUCCUGGUCGGACAUCAGGAGGUUAGUGCAAUGGCAUAAGCUAGCUUGACUGCGAGCGUGACGGCGCGAGCAGGUGCGAAAGCAGGUCAUAGUGAUCCGGUGGUUCUGAAUGGAAGGGCCAUCGCUCAACGGAUAAAAGGUACUCCGGGGAUAACAGGCUGAUACCGCCCAAGAGUUCAUAUCGACGGCGGUGUUUGGCACCUCGAUGUCGGCUCAUCACAUCCUGGGGCUGAAGUAGGUCCCAAGGGUAUGGCUGUUCGCCAUUUAAAGUGGUACGCGAGCUGGGUUUAGAACGUCGUGAGACAGUUCGGUCCCUAUCUGCCGUGGGCGCUGGAGAAUUGAGGGGGGCUGCUCCUAGUACGAGAGGACCGGAGUGGACGCAUCACUGGUGUUCGGGUUGUCAUGCCAAUGGCACUGCCCGGUAGCUAAAUGCGGAAGAGAUAAGUGCUGAAAGCAUCUAAGCACGAAACUUGCCCCGAGAUGAGUUCUCCCUGAGACUUUAAGUCUCCUGAAGGAACGUUAAAGACGAUGACGUUGAUAGGCCGGGUGUGUAAGCGCAGCGAUGCGUUGAGCUAACCGGUACUAAUGAACCGUGAGGCUUAACCU